AGAGUUUGAUCCUGGCUCAGGAUGAACGCUGGCGGCGUGCUUAACACAUGCAAGUCGAACGAUGAAGCCCAGCUUGCUGGGUGGAUUAGUGGCGAACGGGUGAGUAACACGUGAGUAACCUGCCCUUAACUCUGGGAUAAGCCUGGGAAACUGGGUCUAAUACCGGAUAGGAGCGUCCACCGCAUGGUGGGUGUUGGAAAGAUUUAUCGGUUUUGGAUGGACUCGCGGCCUAUCAGCUUGUUGGUGAGGUAAUGGCUCACCAAGGCGACGACGGGUAGCCGGCCUGAGAGGGUGACCGGCCACACUGGGACUGAGACACGGCCCAGACUCCUACGGGAGGCAGCAGUGGGGAAUAUUGCACAAUGGGCGAAAGCCUGAUGCAGCGACGCCGCGUGAGGGAUGACGGCCUUCGGGUUGUAAACCUCUUUCAGUAGGGAAGAAGCGAAAGUGACGGUACCUGCAGAAGAAGCACCGGCUAACUACGUGCCAGCAGCCGCGGUAAUACGUAGGGUGCGAGCGUUAUCCGGAAUUAUUGGGCGUAAAGAGCUCGUAGGCGGUUUGUCGCGUCUGUCGUGAAAGUCCGGGGCUUAACCCCGGAUCUGCGGUGGGUACGGGCAGACUAGAGUGCAGUAGGGGAGACUGGAAUUCCUGGUGUAGCGGUGGAAUGCGCAGAUAUCAGGAGGAACACCGAUGGCGAAGGCAGGUCUCUGGGCUGUAACUGACGCUGAGGAGCGAAAGCAUGGGGAGCGAACAGGAUUAGAUACCCUGGUAGUCCAUGCCGUAAACGUUGGGCACUAGGUGUGGGGACCAUUCCACGGUUUCCGCGCCGCAGCUAACGCAUUAAGUGCCCCGCCUGGGGAGUACGGCCGCAAGGCUAAAACUCAAAGGAAUUGACGGGGGCCCGCACAAGCGGCGGAGCAUGCGGAUUAAUUCGAUGCAACGCGAAGAACCUUACCAAGGCUUGACAUGUUCCCGAUCGCCGUAGAGAUACGAUUUCCCCUUUGGGGCGGGUUCACAGGUGGUGCAUGGUUGUCGUCAGCUCGUGUCGUGAGAUGUUGGGUUAAGUCCCGCAACGAGCGCAACCCUCGUUCCAUGUUGCCAGCACGUAAUGGUGGGGACUCAUGGGAGACUGCCGGGGUCAACUCGGAGGAAGGUGAGGACGACGUCAAAUCAUCAUGCCCCUUAUGUCUUGGGCUUCACGCAUGCUACAAUGGCCGGUACAAUGGGUUGCGAUACUGUGAGGUGGAGCUAAUCCCAAAAAGGGCUCUCCUGACUGAUCCGUGGGUCAUUUCCGGCCCGGUAGGACGGGUCGGUGGCCGCCGAGGUUGAGCAUGGCCAGGGCGAUGAGGGCUUCGGGGGACUUGAAGCCGAAGGCGACGCGGGUGAUGAGCCGAAUCUUCGUGUUCACGGACUCGAUACGUCCGUUGGACAGGCCGUGCUCGAUCGCGGCGAGGAUCGAGGCCUUGUGCUUGACGAUGCGGCGUUGGAGCUCGACGAAGGCGGGGAUGCGGCAACGUCGGGCCCAGCCGAUCCAGCGUUCCAGGGCCGUCUCGGCCUCGUCGGCGGGUAGCUGGAAGACCAGGCGCAGUCCUUCCUUGAGCAGGUAGGCCCGGUGCAGGCGCGGGUCGGUCUUGGCGACCCAGGCGAGCUUGGCCUGCUGCCGGGUGGUGAGGUUCUCGGGGUUCUUCCACAGCGCGUACCGGGCGUGCUUGAGCGCCUUGGCGUGCCCGCCGGCCCGCCCGGCCCGGCGCUGCCGGACCGCGCCACGGGCCUCGUUCCACGCCUGGCGACGGACCUCGUCCAGGGCCUCGGUGGCCCACUUGACGAUGUGGAACGGAUCAGCGCACCGCACCGCGUUCGGGCACCGCUCGGCGACCACGGCGGCGAUCCAGUCCGCCCCGUCGGCGCUGACGUGGGUGAUCUCGGCGCACCGGUCGGGCCCGAGGGCCUCGAAGAACGCCGCCAGGGUCGCCUUGUCCCGGCCCGGGGCGGCCCAGACGAGCCGGCCGGUGUCGUGGUCGACCACGAUCGUGAGGUAGCGGUGGCCCUUCUUGUAGGAGAUCUCAUCGAUGCCGAUCCGUCGCAGGCCGGCGAACCGGUCGCCGAGGGCCUCCACGUCGGCCCAGACCCGGGUGAUGAUCGCCCCGACGGUGCGCCAGGCGAUGCGCAUCAGCUCGGUGACCGCGGACUUGGAGCACUGCGUGGCCAGCCAGGCCACCUGCUCGUCGAACACCACGGUGUGACCGGCCCCGUGCCUGGCCCACGGGACGGCGGCCACCGUGGGACCGUGCUCGCGGCAGGCCACCCGCGGGGCGUCGGCCUCGAGGUAGACCUGCACCGUGCCCAGAUCCAGCGCCCGCCACCGCCGCCGACCCUCGCCACGGUCGUACCCGGGCGACCUGCGCCCGCACCGCCCGCACCGGCCACGCACUCGAGCCCGGGGACGGACAUGAGCCACCAGGAGCUGGUCGUCCUCAUCGAACUCGAUGCCCUCCACGACCGUCUUCUCGACGCCCAGCAAGGACCGCCAUAGGCUUGCGUUCCGCACGCCGUUCUCCGCCCUUCAGGUAACUGACCUCAACAGCCAGAAACCUAGGCAGAGAGCGGCGUGCCCUCGUCAACGGCUCGCCAGAACACCCACGGAAGCGUCAGGAGAGCCCCAAAAAGCCGGUCUCAGUUCGGAUUGGGGUCUGCAACUCGACCCCAUGAAGUCGGAGUCGCUAGUAAUCGCAGAUCAGCAACGCUGCGGUGAAUACGUUCCCGGGCCUUGUACACACCGCCCGUCAAGUCACGAAAGUCGGUAACACCCGAAGCCGGUGGCCUAACCCUUGUGGGGGGAGCCGUCGAAGGUGGGACCAGCGAUUGGGACUAAGUCGUAACAAGGUAGCCGUACCGGAAGGUGCGGCUGGAUCACCU
This 2916-nucleotide ribosomal RNA is filed under the name Micrococcus luteus. Its description in RNAcentral is "bacterial SSU rRNA". The stretch from base 1 to 1406 matches the Rfam family "Bacterial small subunit ribosomal RNA". The record is from RNAcentral. Lineage: Bacteria; Bacillati; Actinomycetota; Actinomycetes; Micrococcales; Micrococcaceae.